This 1683-nucleotide unclassified non-coding RNA is filed under the name Portunus trituberculatus (swimming crab). Its description in RNAcentral is "endochitinase A-like, transcript variant X1". The stretch from base 1116 to 1186 matches the Rfam family "mir-10 microRNA precursor family". The record is from RNAcentral. Lineage: Eukaryota; Metazoa; Arthropoda; Malacostraca; Decapoda; Portunidae.
GCAGAGUCAGCCAGACGUCUGUUGGUGCGGGAGGGUAGCGCUCGUCGUGCCCUCGUCCUCUCUGCGUUGCGAACACGCUGGCAGCAGUUGAGGCGCUUAAUAAAGUCCUUGCUACCCAGUGUGCCUGACGUGCUUGGCGGCAGAGAGCGCGGCGUAGUCACAAGAAAGUCAGUCCACCAUCAGAUUCUAAAGGUGUCGUUGUGUGCGAGUACUUAUUACAGUACAGUGUUAUAACCGCCCACAGGUGUGAUAGAGGUCAUCCUGAAAACCAUUUCUCCUGUUGAAACCAACCAGUCAUGUGAGAGUCUCGCGUACUCGCCGUGUAGCUCAGGUGGGCCGGGUCUCCUCUACUCGCGGUGGACGAAGCCUCGACACACGGUACAGGUCAGGAGUGGGAGCGCCACCGCGGUACCUGAGUCCACAACAGGCGCUGACGUGAUGAGGACGACCACCAGCACCACCAGCACCGCCACCACCACCAGCACCGCCUCCUCACUCAAGGCCACGACCAGCACGACCCGGCCAGUCUCUCGCCACGCCACCUCAGCCAGGAGACACACCGCCUCUCACCUGCGGAUACAGAAGACGUCAAGAUUAUCAGAAAAUAUCCAAGACAAUCACACGUUUAAAUCCUGCACCCCGCAUCCUUCCCCUUCCCCUCCUGGAUCCUCUCGGCCUGCCUGGAAGUCCUUCCUCAGGGUUCUCAGCCAACAUUCAAGUUCUCUCUAUUGGUGCAAAACUUCAUAUAUAUAUAUCUUACUUUUCAUAUUCAGAAACCUUCAUGUAAAUUUCACCACUAGUGCGUAAAAUUAAUUUCCUUCACCUUUCCACACAAGUGUAAUAUUACCUCAAUAUUUUCUCACGAGUUGUUGCAAAUAUUGAUUAAUAUGAAAUCUGGUGGAGCUUAAGUGAUAAUCAAACAACUUUUUCAAAAUAUAUAUCGUUUUAGUAAUAUAUUUUCCACAUAUUCAAAAUAUGGCAUAUGUUUCUCGCCCUUAAUCACUUUCACGAGCAUCCAAAAAGAGAUCCUAUGAGUGUCGGUUUAGGAGGAGAGACCCUUCCCUCGCCUGGCCUAACACACCCCCUAACACCCUACUAACACCAAAGUUAAUGCUCUACAUCUACCCUGUAGAUCCGAAUUUGUGAGAUAAUUGUUAACAAAUUCGGUUCUAGAGAGGUUUGUGUGGGGCAUACAUGGCAACUGUCUAACACACAUUAGUCUAAGUCUCCCGUGUGGCGUGAACCUGAAGUGCUUCUAUCUCAGUCAAGUUGUGUGUGUGUGUGUGUGUGUGUGUGUGUGUGUGUGUGUGUGUGUGUGUGUGUGUGUGUGUGUGUGUGUGUGUGUGUGUGUGUGUGUGUGUGUGCGCGCAACAAUCAGGAUGUACAGCCUCCCAUAAACAGCAAAAAAUCAGACAAAAAAAAAUAUUUAAGGUCAGUCAGGUCGGCAGCGGCCUUGUGCACCGCCAGUUGAGCCCCUCAGGCCGCCCCACGUGUGCACCUUCACAUGAGAUUUAUAAUUUGAACUUGUAAUUCACCUCACAAAAAUCAUGUUGUCAGUAAAUGUUAUAAAUAUAUACCUCAUUUUUUUCUAUUACAUAAAUAAAAAAUUUAUUAACAUCCUCUCUCUCUCUCUCUCUCUCUCUCUCUCUCUCUCUCUCUCUCUCUCUCUCUCUCUCUCUCUCU